UCUUUUUUUGUGGGAAUUCUUUUCUUUUUUUAAGAGUGAGAUAUUUGUUCCUUUUUAACAUAGUACUAGUAAGUAUGCACGUGCAACGCACGUCUCGACUAAAAUAUAUUUCAUUAUGAAACAUAGUAAUUCUAUUAACAAUGUAAACCUACUUUCUGUGAAGCUGAAAUCUCAUGCAGAUAGCAUAUAAUUUCUAAGUCCUUAAAAUGACUGGAAAAUAUCAUGCUUUAUGAAUACAUUCCCAAGUCCAUUGCAUAACAAGUACCAAAUAUCGUUAACUAAUUGAUACAAAAUCAGUCCAUGAAGAAAAUUAAAUUGUGACCAAGUAUAUUUGCAUUAUGCCGCCCCCCUCCGGUAGUGCAUCUUGGCAACCAACGCCAUCACCAAUACCUCGCGGGAAACCAUGGUAAUAUGUAGAUACUCAUCAUGUAACGCAGAUAUAAUUGUUUGUCAUACUCGCAGCCAUGACCUCUUAAACUGCAUAACUGACAUAAUUCACGUGUUAUUCAUAGCUUAGAGUAAUCAUUGGAUCUAAACUAAACUAAAUUUGAGGUAUAAUAUUCCCAACCAAAGAAAAAUACAUUUUCAAUCUUAUUUUCUUUUAGUUGGUACCUAAGAAUGUGCCACUGCCAAUAGGCACCGGGAAAAAAGAUAUGCAAGUGUGUAUAUAGAGGCAACGGAAAUUAGUAGUUUCCACAGAAGCUCAUCAAAUGACAUAAUUCAUCAUAGUUCUGGGAUACAAGUUUGAAAACAUUGCUAGUCUUUUUUCUUUUGAGAUACAAGUUUGCGCAUCUAAGAAACAAAAGAUUGCUAGUUCACACAGAAACAAACCAUCAAGUUGCAUCAAUAAGACAUCCUCGCCCCUGCGGUUGUACCAAGCAAUGUCAGGAACACGUGAAAUCAGUCAUAGAACUCGCUAACGUACAAAUCAGAUGCACAAACCACUAAAGGUGGAACCACGCUUACUCAUAAUCUGAAGGUCCUAGCCAAUGUAGUUCAUUUAUGGUCAUUUAGUGUUAAUC
Molecule: long non-coding RNA, 1022 nt
Filed under: Triticum aestivum (bread wheat)
Lineage: Eukaryota; Viridiplantae; Streptophyta; Magnoliopsida; Poales; Poaceae
Description: long non-coding RNA (TAES_LNC019399)
Source: RNAcentral